GUACCACUACGUCCGUACCUGAACCGACACCGGAGCACGGCCAAGAUCGUCCAACCGUACUAGUCGCGGAAAGAAAACAUCGGCGUAGCAGGUUCCUAUCCUGUGCCGUUGCGGGUUUAGCAUUUUUGCCUGCGUCUUUCGUGCGACGCAGAUCUGAUUGUGGUUCUUAAAGGCGUAGAAAUUAGCCGGUUUUCGAACGUGGCUGGGCUCCUCGAGUUGGUGAGGAUGGUGAUGGUCACUGGGCUCCGUGCAGAGUACGGCAGUGUACGGCAGUUGCGGAGCCUUCUCGCGUAUAUACGCCGCAUAGGGCGUCUAACAUAAUUGGGGUCCGUGCGGAGGGCGACGUUGAUUGGGCUCAGGAAAGUGGGACGUGUCUUAGAGUCGUGGGUGUCCAGAGCUGAGUUCGGUACCCGCGGCCGCUCUUCUGCCGGCGCCCGUACGGCGCGUAGCCGUACCCGUGCCGCCACGUCCCCGGGUUCGGCCUGGGGUAGGCGGCGCGGCAGGAGGCGCGGUAGCUCUAUCCCAUGGCGGUGAAGCUGUGCCGCCGCGUGAUGCUCUGGCUCCGGGGGUAGCCGCUCCGGCGGCGGCUCCGGCACGCGAGGCCGCGGCAGCGGAGGGCCCUGCUCGAGAAGUAGUGGAGGUUCGAGACCACGUCGCUGCGGGUGGCGCUGUCCCAGCAGGGGCGGGAGUCCGUCAGCGAGGCCUUAGAGGUCUACCUCAUGCACCUGGACAUGGAACAGGUGACCGGCCACAGGUACUUCGGGCCCGCCAAGUUCCGGGGGAAGUGCCGGCUCCUGAAGCACGGGAAGCUGUACGCCCGGCACACCCUCCGGUACCUCCUCACGGUGUCCGACCCGGAGCGGUUCCGGUAGCCGCAGCGGUUAAAGAGGACGUUCUUCGACCUCUGGGAGGAGAGGAAGCGGUGGUAGGGAGGGUGGCAGUUAGUCCACCUCCACUUGGGCCACACCGUCGUCUCUUUCGACUCCCUCAAGACGUCCCCGUUCCCGUAGGUCGACACGCGGAUGAGCGGCGACCCCCGGUUCCCGUGCGUGACCCCGUCGCUGCGGCACUACCUGCGGCCGCAGGACGUCCUCUAGCGGCGCAGGUCCCCGUUCUCGCACCGCGUCCACACGGACUCCACCCACAUGCUCGUCCCCCUGACGGAGUAGCAGUUCUCGAAGCUGCUCCGGGCCUACUCCCUCUUGGACCUCCACCUGCCGACCCUCGAGUGCCUCCUCCUCGCGGAGGCCUAGCGGCUCUAGGGCGUCGCGUUCUAGUUGGAGCCGUUCGCGAUGCACAGGCUCGUGCCCGGGAUGUUCAGGGAGCUCCUCGAGACCCUGCCGCUCUAUACUCAUCGGUCACCUCUCCGGCUGACAGGCCGCGAUGCACACACGACCCACAGUAGGAACCGGUACCCGCCCACCAACUAGCCCCCUGCUAAAGGGAAACUUAUUUUAGUACAAGACGUAACACAAAGUCACUUAUUUACUUCUACAAAUGACGGCGUAAAUUCCUCUCAAUAAUUCUCUAGCCCUAGUAGAGUAGUACAAUAAUACGCAUGAAAGGACCGUUACAUUCAACAAGGUUCCCGUCUUGUCUUGUUUUUCUUCACACAUACAUUUAUUUCUCUCCGUCGCCGC
This 1640-nucleotide ribosomal RNA is filed under the name Triticum aestivum (bread wheat). RNAcentral's name for it is "partial small subunit ribosomal RNA". The record is from RNAcentral. Lineage: Eukaryota; Viridiplantae; Streptophyta; Magnoliopsida; Poales; Poaceae.